GUGUGACUGCGUACCUUUUGUAUAAUGGGUCAGCGACUUAUAUUCUGUAGCAAGGUUAACCGAAUAGGGGAGCCGAAGGGAAACCGAGUCUUAACUGGGCGUUAAGUUGCAGGGUAUAGACCCGAAACCCGGUGAUCUAGCCAUGGGCAGGUUGAAGGUUGGGUAACACUAACUGGAGGACCGAACCGACUAAUGUUGAAAAAUUAGCGGAUGACUUGUGGCUGGGGGUGAAAGGCCAAUCAAACCGGGAGAUAGCUGGUUCUCCCCGAAAGCUAUUUAGGUAGCGCCUCGUGAAUUCAUCUCCGGGGGUAGAGCACUGUUUCGGCAAGGGGGUCAUCCCGACUUACCAACCCGAUGCAAACUGCGAAUACCGGAGAAUGUUAUCACGGGAGACACACGGCGGGUGCUAACGUCCGUCGUGAAGAGGGAAACAACCCAGACCGCCAGCUAAGGUCCCAAAGUCAUGGUUAAGUGGGAAACGAUGUGGGAAGGCCCAGACAGCCAGGAUGUUGGCUUAGAAGCAGCCAUCAUUUAAAGAAAGCGUAAUAGCUCACUGGUCGAGUCGGCCUGCGCGGAAGAUGUAACGGGGCUAAACCAUGCACCGAAGCUGCGGCAGCGACGCUUAUGCGUUGUUGGGUAGGGGAGCGUUCUGUAAGCCUGCGAAGGUGUGCUGUGAGGCAUGCUGGAGGUAUCAGAAGUGCGAAUGCUGACAUAAGUAACGAUAAAGCGGGUGAAAAGCCCGCUCGCCGGAAGACCAAGGGUUCCUGUCCAACGUUAAUCGGGGCAGGGUGAGUCGACCCCUAAGGCGAGGCCGAAAGGCGUAGUCGAUGGGAAACAGGUUAAUAUUCCUGUACUUGGUGUUACUGCGAAGGGGGGACGGAGAAGGCUAUGUUGGCCGGGCGACGGUUGUCCCGGUUUAAGCGUGUAGGCUGGUUUUCCAGGCAAAUCCGGAAAAUCAAGGCUGAGGCGUGAUGACGAGGCACUACGGUGCUGAAGCAACAAAUGCCCUGCUUCCAGGAAAAGCCUCUAAGCAUCAGGUAACAUCAAAUCGUACCCCAAACCGACACAGGUGGUCAGGUAGAGAAUACCAAGGCGCUUGAGAGAACUCGGGUGAAGGAACUAGGCAAAAUGGUGCCGUAACUUCGGGAGAAGGCACGCUGAUAUGUAGGUGAAGUCCCUCGCGGAUGGAGCUGAAAUCAGUCGAAGAUACCAGCUGGCUGCAACUGUUUAUUAAAAACACAGCACUGUGCAAACACGAAAGUGGACGUAUACGGUGUGACGCCUGCCCGGUGCCGGAAGGUUAAUUGAUGGGGUUAGCGCAAGCGAAGCUCUUGAUCGAAGCCCCGGUAAACGGCGGCCGUAACUAUAACGGUCCUAAGGUAGCGAAAUUCCUUGUCGGGUAAGUUCCGACCUGCACGAAUGGCGUAAUGAUGGCCAGGCUGUCUCCACCCGAGACUCAGUGAAAUUGAACUCGCUGUGAAGAUGCAGUGUACCCGCGGCAAGACGGAAAGACCCCGUGAACCUUUACUAUAGCUUGACACUGAACAUUGAGCCUUGAUGUGUAGGAUAGGUGGGAGGCUUUGAAGUGUGGACGCCAGUCUGCAUGGAGCCGACCUUGAAAUACCACCCUUUAAUGUUUGAUGUUCUAACGUGGACCCGUAAUCCGGGUUGCGGACAGUGUCUGGUGGGUAGUUUGACUGGGGCGGUCUCCUCCUAAAGAGUAACGGAGGAGCACGAAGGUUGGCUAAUCCUGGUCGGACAUCAGGAGGUUAGUGCAAUGGCAUAAGCCAGCUUGACUGCGAGCGUGACGGCGCGAGCAGGUGCGAAAGCAGGUCAUAGUGAUCCGGUGGUUCUGAAUGGAAGGGCCAUCGCUCAACGGAUAAAAGGUACUCCGGGGAUAACAGGCUGAUACCGCCCAAGAGUUCAUAUCGACGGCGGUGUUUGGCACCUCGAUGUCGGCUCAUCACAUCCUGGGGCUGAAGUAGGUCCCAAGGGUAUGGCUGUUCGCCAUUUAAAGUGGUACGCGAGCUGGGUUUAGAACGUCGUGAGACAGUUCGGUCCCUAUCUGCCGUGGGCGCUGGAGAA
Molecule: ribosomal RNA, 2085 nt
Filed under: Escherichia coli
Lineage: Bacteria; Pseudomonadati; Pseudomonadota; Gammaproteobacteria; Enterobacterales; Enterobacteriaceae
Description: bacterial LSU rRNA
Rfam family: Bacterial large subunit ribosomal RNA
Source: RNAcentral